Molecule: transfer RNA, 73 nt
Filed under: Trichonephila clavata
Lineage: Eukaryota; Metazoa; Arthropoda; Arachnida; Araneae; Nephilidae
Rfam family: tRNA
About the family: Transfer RNA (tRNA) molecules are approximately 80 nucleotides in length. Their secondary structure includes four short double-helical elements and three loops (D, anti-codon, and T loops). Further hydrogen bonds mediate the characteristic L-shaped molecular structure. tRNAs have two regions of fundamental functional importance: the anti-codon, which is responsible for specific mRNA codon recognition, and the 3' end, to which the tRNAs corresponding amino acid is attached (by aminoacyl-tRNA synthetases). tRNAs cope with the degeneracy of the genetic code in two manners: having more than one tRNA (with a specific anti-codon) for a particular amino acid; and 'wobble' base-pairing, i.e. permitting non-standard base-pairing at the 3rd anti-codon position.
Source: Rfam by way of RNAcentral
GUCCCUGUAGCGCAAUGGAUAGCGCGUUGAACUUCUGAUUCAAAGGUCGUAGUUUCGAAUUAUACCUGGGAGG